Molecule: ribosomal RNA, 450 nt
Filed under: uncultured bacterium
Lineage: Bacteria
Description: bacterial SSU rRNA
Rfam family: Bacterial small subunit ribosomal RNA
Source: RNAcentral
GUGGGGAAUUUUGGACAAUGGGCGCAAGCCUGAUCCAGCAAUGCCGCGUGCAGGAAGAAGGCCUUCGGGUUGUAAACUGCUUUUGUACGGAACGAAACGGUCCUGGUUAAUACCUGGGGCUAAUGACGGUACCGUAAGAAUAAGCACCGGCUAACUACGUGCCAGCAGCCGCGGUAAUACGUAGGGUGCGAGCGUUAAUCGGAAUUACUGGGCGUAAAGCGUGCGAAGGCGGUGCUGUAAGACAGGCGUGAAAUCCCCGGGCUCAACCUGGGAAUUGCGCUUGUGACUGCAGUGCUGGAGUACGGCAGAGGGGGAUGGAAUUCCGCGUGUAGCAGUGAAAUGCGUAGAUAUGCGGAGGAACACCGAUGGCGAAGGCAGUCCCCUGGGCCUGUACUGACGCUCAUGCACGAAAGCGUGGGGAGCAAACAGGAUUAGAAACCCUUGUAGUCC